CAAUAGCGUAUAUUAAUGUUGUUGCGGUAAAAAAGCUCGUAGUUGGAUUUCUACCGAAGAUAGCCGGUCGGGUCUUCGACCUUGUAUCUGGUUUUGUCUUUGGUAUCCUCAUAGGGAACGUUUCUGCGCUUUAUUGCGUGGUGCGGUAUCUAUGACUUUUACUUUGAGGAAAUUAGAGUGUUCACGGCAGGCAAACGCCUUGAAUAUAUUAGCAUGGAAUAAUAACAUAGGAUCUUCGCCCUAUUUUGUUGGUUUCUAGGGCUAAGAUAAUGAUUAAUAGGGAUAAUUGGGGGCAUCUGUAUCAACGCGUCAGAGGUGGAAUUCUUGGAUUGCGUUGCGACAAACUACUGCGAAAGCAUUUGCCAAGGAUGUUUUCAUUGA
This 381-nucleotide ribosomal RNA is filed under the name uncultured eukaryote. RNAcentral's name for it is "partial 18S ribosomal RNA". It matches the Rfam family "Eukaryotic small subunit ribosomal RNA", at positions 592 to 976 of the family's 1831-position model. The record is from RNAcentral.